CCUACGGGGGGCUGCAGUGGGGAAUAUUGGACAAUGGGGGCAACCCUGAUCCAGCCAUGCCGCGUGUGUGAAGAAGGCCCUCGGGUUGUAAAGCACUUUCAGUGAGGAAGAACGCCUGGUGGUUAAUACCCAUCAGGAAAGACAUCACUCACAGAAGAAGCACCGGCUAACUCCGUGCCAGCAGCCGCGGUAAUACGGAGGGUGCGAGCGUUAAUCGGAAUUACUGGGCGUAAAGCGCGCGUAGGUGGCUUGAUAAGCCGGUUGUGAAAGCCCCGGGCUCAACCUGGGAACGGCAUCCGGAACUGUCAAGCUAGAGUGCAGGAGAGGAAGGUAGAAUUCCCGGUGUAGCGGUGAAAUGCGUGGAGAUCGGGAGGAAUACCAGUGGCGAAGGCGGCCUUCUGGACUGACACUGACACUGAGGUGCGAAAGCGUGGGUAGCAAACAGGAUUAGAUACCCUAGUAGUC
RNAcentral lists this ribosomal RNA (465 nucleotides) under Vreelandella stevensii. Its description in RNAcentral is "partial 16S ribosomal RNA". It matches the Rfam family "Bacterial small subunit ribosomal RNA", at positions 338 to 795 of the family's 1533-position model. The record is from RNAcentral. Lineage: Bacteria; Pseudomonadati; Pseudomonadota; Gammaproteobacteria; Oceanospirillales; Halomonadaceae.